Molecule: ribosomal RNA, 253 nt
Filed under: uncultured bacterium
Lineage: Bacteria
Description: partial 16S ribosomal RNA
Rfam family: Bacterial small subunit ribosomal RNA
Source: RNAcentral
UACGUAGGGGGCAAGCGUUGUCCGGAUUUAUUGGGCGUAAAGAGCGUGUAGGCGGCCAGACAGGUCAGCUGUGAAAACUCGAGGCUCAACCUCGAGACGUCGGUUGAAACCGUCUGGCUAGAGUCCGGAAGAGGAGAGUGGAAUUCCCGGUGUAGCGGUGAAAUGCGUAGAUAUCUGGAGGAACACCGGUGGCGAAGGCGGCAUCCUGGACCGAGAUUGACGCUGAUGCGCGAAAGCCAGGGGAGCAAACGGG